RNAcentral lists this transfer RNA (89 nucleotides) under Micromonospora fulviviridis. RNAcentral's name for it is "tRNA-Thr". The record is from RNAcentral. Lineage: Bacteria; Bacillati; Actinomycetota; Actinomycetes; Micromonosporales; Micromonosporaceae.
CUGGUCGGUGGCCGAGGGCGACUGGCCGGCGGUCCCGGCCGAGAUGGCCGGCCUGCUGGCUCCGCCGAUCGUGGUCGGCGUCGCCCGGG